Molecule: unclassified non-coding RNA, 3201 nt
Filed under: Hevea brasiliensis (rubber tree)
Lineage: Eukaryota; Viridiplantae; Streptophyta; Magnoliopsida; Malpighiales; Euphorbiaceae
Source: RNAcentral
GCAAUUUGAUAUGGUAACUGAGCUUCAUUCAAAAUGUUAUUUAUCUGAUUGAUUGAUUCUUGUAACCACAAGGAGAAAACAAAAACUAUUAAAUGUAUUUUUUUAAGCUUCCAAACAAAAGGGUUAUUGACAUAGUCCUGAACAAAAUUACUCAACAUAGAGAAAAUUGAAAAGUGAAUUUAGCUCUGGUAUCAAUUAGAAGUAUCCCCGUUUCCUUUGCUUGGAAAGAAAUUCUGGUUCUGCUUUUUUAUUGCUCCUCUUGCUUGCUUCAUAACACAUGAAAGCUAUUCCAGCUGCAGGUACCAACUUCAUGCAGCUGGGACCCAGCCCUUUAUAUAAACCCUGGAUCCCUUCUUGUUCAAGUAUGCUUGCAUGUGCAUGAAGCACAUUCUUGUAUACCUGUCUUCCACCGAGAGCUCCCACUUGCAUAUGCUUGCGUGAAACCUCAAGUGGGAAAGUUGCACUACUAGAUAUAGCUCCAGCAGCUGAUCCAAUCAAAAGGGUUUCAUUGUUGCCAAUCUCUUCUUGCUUAAACACUUUCCGGUAGGCUUUCCGUAAUGUGUCAUAAGCAUAGAAAUUUGUGGCAGCAUAUGGAAUAACUCCAAUCAGGCUAGGCGCAAGGCCUCUAUAGAGUUCUGCAGGGCCCUCUUCUCUUAGUAUUUUUAAGAAUGCAUCUAGUAUACCGUUACAAACAUCCCUCUGCAAAUAAAAUGAACACUCGCCCUUAAAAAGCAACACACGUAUUCAAGAUUUAAAUUUCUAAGUCUAGGUUUUAUAUAUACUUGUAUGGUUAAUCGAGUCUUGACCAACUCAAGUGGAUACGUGACCAAAGUUGAGCUAACUCCAGCACAGGCCCCAGCAACUAAUGAGGCAGGAAUGGGAAGUUUAUGUUGCUCCCCCAGCUUGGCUGACAAGUUCUUAUUAACAGUGUCAUACGCAAACAGCCGUGAUGAGAGCAAAUUACUUGUAAGAUAGUAAUAGUAAGUAUUUGAAACUAGAUAAUUGCUCUGAAUGCAUAAAAUCAAGUGACAUGGUUUAUUUUUCUUCUCUUUCAACAAAACUACUGCAAAACAUGGUAGCAUGUACCAUUUAGUGUACAAUCAUUACUAAACUCCAUGAAACAAUAACAUCUUUUUAUCUGCAUAGAAAGUUGAACCAUGUGUAAACUUACUUGCAUCAAAAAAGAUCAAAAAAUUCAAUUGGAAAAUCAGUGUUUGUACGACCAUCAUCUCUAAUUAUAUGUGAGAUGAUUCAUGAACUAGGUCACCCUUUUUUACUGACAAAUUAUAAUAAACAAGACAGACUUAAUCCCAUCUCAAGACACACAUGCGUCCCCUAAUUUUGAAACGGAGAUAUUUGAAGCUACAUUUAGGAGAGGUCACAGCUACAUGCACUACUGUUGCUUCACAACUUGGUCUUGAAUGUUUAAACCUCUGUUCAUGACAAAUUCUCCAUGAAUUUAGAACUAAUUUUCAUUAAAUUUUAAAUACCAGAAUUGUGAAACUUUUUGCCGAGAAUCAAAUAAUUAAGCCAUCAAGUACAAUCACAUGAAUCACUAGGAAAUGGACAUUCAUACUUUAAACAUUAAAAAUUAAAAAGCAAAUGUAAACAAAAAGACAAAAACAAUACUGAAACAAAAAGCUAAUAAUGGUGAGAACGAAUUUACAAAUCAGGUCACAAAAAAAGGAUCUAUUCAGUUCCAUUUAUGAGCCAUCCGGUGUGGAUACUCAGCCAAAUAAGUGAACGAAUAACGACACGGAAACACACAAAAUAAGGAUGACAUCAAAGAAACAGAACCCGGAAAAUGGUUACACUAAGAAUAUAACUUACAUCGGACACUGAACAACAAAAUUGCAAAGAAUAAAUUAGAAAGUACACAUGGUUGCAGAACGGAUUGAUAAACAUUACCUAGCAGUGAAUGAUGACACGAUCAAUACCUACAAACAACCAUAGUAACCAACAUAACUCAUAGCAAGCAAUCAGUUAACAGCGAUGAAAAAUUAAAAUUUUGAAAGACUUUAUUACCUCUAUGGCUUUGCUUGGGGCAACUCGAAUCACAUUGACGAAAUUGUCUCUAAACAACCCCUUCCAUCCAUCGGUCUUCAUUAUAUUAUGGAACACCUCGGUGGUCGUGUGCCUACUGCUUCACACCAUCAAAUGAGUCCUUAUGGUCUCCAGCAGAGCAAUGGCAGUCCUUGAGACAGCCCCAGCUAUCCCUCCACUAAUUAACCGCCUUAACAUAGGAUUUUUAACCUUAAGCUUCAACUUGAGUCCGCCGUUCUUCUUCUUAAAGGUCCCUUCCUCCUCCUGGACUCUUACAAAAGACAAAUACUUGACACACAAAUCAGCAUACAGGGAUUUUAUGCUGCUAUUGUCACUGGAAUUUGGGAAGCCCAUUCCCAUUUGAUUAACGCUUGCAAACAUGCCUCCACCAGAAAGAUAUUGCCCAUCUUGAAAUCUCCACUGAGACCCCAUAUCAGAGAUUGAGAAAAAUCCAUCAUUUUUGUCAUCAAAAACCUGUAUUGCUUGCUUACCCAUUAAUCAAAAACUUUGUGAUUGAACUUUAUCUUAGGCUUUAGCAAAUCCUCAACCUGUUUUUCUCAUCUCCUUAGGAAGAUUGGGAGUGUUUGACAGGCAAAUAUUAGGUUUUGGGGGAUAUCCGAAAAAUCCAUUUUUGAGUAAAAGAAAAAGUACGUAAAAAGAAUUGAGAAAUGGAAGAAAGGGGAGCGCGGUUGAAGAAUCCAACAAUAGAAGACGAUGAAACCAAGGGAGAGGAAAUGGAAUGGCAAUUGAGAAACCUGGAUAGCAAGAAAAAGGCCGGGUUAUGCGAAGCUAACACACAUGCUCUGUCGCCGCAGCUCUCUCCCUCUCCUUCUCAGGGUUACAAAUGAGUUCAGUUGAUGGGCUGCAGGAGUUAGGUUCUGCAUUUGGGAAGGGAAUGCGACGGUUAAGACCCUCUCUUUUAGGCCUGGUGAACGAUAGGAAUAGCAACGGGUGGGUUUGGAACCCGUCCUCGCUCCACAAAAUAUGGGAAUUGGGGUGAGAAAGGAGGAGCGAAUUUCUUUGCAUGCAUUUUUUAAUUCUUUUUAUUUUUUAUUAUAAAAUAUAAAUUUAUUUAUUAAAAAAAUAAAUUAAUUAUAAAUAAAAAAAUAUUAAUAUUUAACACUUAUUGGAAAAAAUCCAAAAUUUUUAAGUUUUUUU